Chinchilla lanigera (long-tailed chinchilla) is the source of this 2517-nucleotide long non-coding RNA. RefSeq lists it as uncharacterized. The record is from RefSeq and is a predicted model, not a curated record. NCBI's taxonomy places the organism in Eukaryota, Metazoa, Chordata, Mammalia, Rodentia, Chinchillidae. The transcript is spliced from 2 exons.
GAAUCAACUAUUACAGCCUCCAGCACACCACUGGAAUGGACCAGAGAUGCCUCCAGAGUUAGGUCCUUUCGAGUCAUAAGCACAGCCAUUUAAAAAAAAAAAUUAAACCUGGCUUUUCAGGUAUUUUAAACGUCCAUGUACGAUCUUAGACCGAAAAAAGAAUAGAUCUGGAAAUGUAUACAGAAGAAAAGAAAAAUCCAUUCUGUUUGGUGGUUGGCAGGGAUAAAGCCUUGGGCACCCACUGCUUUUGCUGUAUGUAGUACACAAGCUGAGUGUCCUUGUGGUUUGAUUUCUGAAGUGAAGAGCACCUUGCAUUUUUCCAAGGUAAUUGGGGUUAGUCACAGGACUCUGCUCUUAGUAAAGGCCUGGCUUUCAGAGCUGGCGUUUUCGGGGCUAGAAAGCUUUCGGCUGGCCUGCCAGCCUGAAUCGCUACACGUCGUUAUUUGUCUUUUGGAUUUAAUAGUUGCCCUUCUAACUGAGACUCAUUUCUCCCCAGUUGAAAAUGAAAAAAGACUUUAAUGUCACUUCAAAGAAUUACAGAGUAAAAAUUGAAUGAAAUUAAAUUAAUUGGAAGUGUCAGACUAGAUACGUACAAGCAGAAGUACAUUUCUAGCCUUAGCACCGGGAACGCGACUUCUAAAACGUAAGGUGUUUCAUAAUCAAAACUGGAUGGUAUACUUCAAAGUUUUUAUUUCAGAAUUACCUUAAACUCCAUUCAAAGAAGUUGAAGUAACAAAUGAAAAUAAAUCCAAAAGGCAAAUACCAACCUGCACUAGAAUGUGGUAUUGGUGAAAAUAUGUACAACCCAGAAUGGCUGUAGACUCUUUAACACCUGGUUUUCCUUUGCUGUGUUCAUAAAUAAUAAAUAAGUGCCUUUGGUUCAUGUAACUGCAGAAAGCCCUCUCACCCUGUAGUCGAGCACAGCUAAAGCUCGUAACCGUCAGACUGUAUGUCUAUCUCGGUAAACGCAUCGCUUAGCCUGAUAGGUUGUUUGUCUAAAUUUUUCAUUGUUCUGCAUAAUUUGUACUUCAUAAGCAUACCGAGUUUUAUGUGCCAUGCAUAUUUCAUGGUAUCUGGAAAAAAAAACCUGCCAAAGCGUGUUGGUGUAUGCAUUUCACCAUGCAUACCGUCUGUAUGUGCAUCCGUACAUGUCUCACCCUGGCCUAACGUGUUGUUUCACAAGUGUUGUGGGUGGCGAGGUUAUCGAACGGUAAAGAGCAUCUCAAUUCGAACAGUGAACAGAAUCAAUUUUGGAUCAUUCGUGUUAAUGCAUUUAUUUACUCAUUGGCACUCAGUAAGAAUGAUUAUAUUUAAUAGCGCUUUACAGUCAGCUCUUGAUUAUCUGGGAAUAGAAACCUUGCUCCUGGGAUAACUUGGCUUUCAGGUUUGUGUGUGCGUGCGUGUGUGUGUGUGUGCGCGCUUUUGUCUUAACUUGGGUUCUCGAUUGCAGAAGUGGGCUCCUUCAGUGGAGGCCCAGGGAGAGGCGGCUGCUCAGGCCUGGGUCCUUCUCCCUUUGCCCUUUCUGUCCUGUCUGCAGAACAGAAGGACCCGCACUUGGAGUGAGUGGACUAGUGCAGGAGAGUUGUGGCCGUGGGACACUUUGCGUUUUGGUUCUUCGUGGUGGUUUUGUGUUGCUGUCCUAACUCCGGCUUGAAGCACAGCCAAGCUGCUAUAAACUCCUGGUUUCCUCUGUUACGGUUCUGCAGUUCUGCUUCUGCCGUGAGAGGAACCGGGUCACGCGUCACGUGGGGGUGAGUGGCACCUAUUCAGUGUUGCUGUCCUCCGCAGGUUGCCUUAAUCAGGGACAGAGGAAGCCCUGAGCAGGAGCUUGGGUGGUUUUCAGAAAACAAGACACUUUAUGUCGCAGCCAGCGGACACUUUCGGGACUGAGCGUGCCGGCUGCGUGUUGCGCUUCCCUCCCCGUCAGCUCUUCACGCGAUGACAAGUAAAGUGCUCUUACGUACAGGUGUCCGAAGCGGUCGAGGCCAGUGUGGAAGCGGCCUGUCUCCCUACUGUAAUGAGAAGGCUGUCUCAGAAGGAAACCCUUGAGUACUACUGCCUCACGGAGCGAGAGCCAAGAUUGGGAAGCAGCGGACACGGAGCCCUGAGCCGGGCUCUGUCACCUUCCGCAGCCUCGUCCGUAAGGAGCGGUCUCAGCAGCAGCCUGCCACCUCCAGCUGCGGCACAGACAUUUGCAGCCUGCUCUGUGGGACUGCGGAGGCCAGGGCAGGGUCUGAGUUGAAAACGCUUUCCCAGAACUCCUUGCAGACUUCGGCGACCUCCUGCUGCAAGCCCAUGACAUCAGGUUGGCCCUGUGGGACUUGCCCUCCCCAAAGAGACCACAGGCCUGGUGCAGGGCUGCCCUCGCCCGCCGAGGUAGGGCAGGGAACACGAGAGGAGGACGCGCUCUUGAGGAGGCCAGGGCUGCCUCCGACUCCAGAGAGAGGUAGCCGCAUGGGAAGGAGCCCCGCGCAGGGACGCAGGCGUUUCUCGGCUGCAGUGGAAGGGGCAGCGACA